AUCCUACGGGGGGCAGCAGUAGGGAAUCUUCCACAAUGGACGAAAGUCUGAUGGAGCAACGCCGCGUGAGUGAAGAAGGGUUUCGGCUCGUAAAGCUCUGGUGGUAGUGAAGGAAGAUAGAGGUAGUAACUGGCCUUUAUUUGACGGUAAUUACUUAGAAAGUCACGGCUAACUACGUGCCAGCAGCCGCGGUAAUACGUAGGUGGCAAGCGUUGUCCGGAUUUAUUGGGCGUAAAGCGAGUGCAGGCGGUUCAAUAAGUCUGAUGUGAAAACCUUUGGCUCAAACGGAGAAUUGCAUCAGAAAA
Molecule: ribosomal RNA, 305 nt
Filed under: uncultured bacterium
Lineage: Bacteria
Description: bacterial SSU rRNA
Rfam family: Bacterial small subunit ribosomal RNA
Source: RNAcentral